Molecule: long non-coding RNA, 35688 nt
Organism: Gasterosteus aculeatus aculeatus (three-spined stickleback)
Lineage: Eukaryota; Metazoa; Chordata; Actinopteri; Perciformes; Gasterosteidae
Source: Ensembl
GAGUUUAUGACUAUUAAAGUAUUUUUCUCUUGAUGUCUGCGUUUGAGUCCUGCCUUCCACCCACCCUGACAGUUUGAUUACAGUUUGGUCUUGUUGGUCCUGUUUGUUUGCAUUCACCCGAUGGGGAUCGGACCAAAGUAUGACCGAUUCAAAGUGUGGUCUUAGUGUUAUAGUCUAGAGUCACAAUUUAAUACUGUCUUUUCGUUCUGAUUUUAGUCUCUACAAAUCUUGAGAAAUAAAUCUGUAUCUUUAGCUGCAAAUCUUCCCUUAUGUUUACCAUUUAGGUCAUACAUCUUUACAAGUGGCGUGGUGCUCGGCCGGUACUAUACAGUGGUUUUAUCAAAGCCUUCUCACACCGAAGAGCUGCAAAGCUUUGUGUGCAAAGGACACAAUGACCAAGUCAGUAAAGUGGUGGAAAGACAACUACAAAAGGUGAAUGUCAUUAUAAAGCUAUUUCUUCAGGUCAAAUACUGUAUCGUAAUUGGAAGCAUCAAUUGACGGGUAAUUUCUUGUUUGUAACACAUUAAAACGCUCGGUGAAAUGCAGUACAUGUAUGUAUCCAGGCCACUACAUAUUGGCAGUUGCUACAAUUGUCUAACCAUGCACUAAUAGCACAAAUUGUAAAGUCAUUGUUUAAAAAGGGCAGAGUCCAUCACACUUAGCGGAGCCAUUCAGCCACAAGAGCAUUAAUGAGUUCCAACAUUGAUGUCAUGUCAUUAGGUCUGGCUUUCAGUCAGAAUUCCAGCUCAUCCAAAAGGUGUUGGAUGGAGAUGAGGCCAGGGCUCUGUGCAGUUCAGUAAAAUCCUUCCGCGUUAAAGUUCUUUAACACCGUGAAGCGUCAUCAUUCAUCCAUUCACACAGAUUCAUACACUGAUGACAGGGGCUACCAUAUAGUCCCAACCGUUCAUCAGUAACAUUCACACGUCGUAGUUAUAGCUAUGGGAGCUAUUUGUGUUGCCCAAAAGACAGACUGAAGUCGGAGCCGAAACCGCUGUAUGUAUUAAAGGACAACUCUGCUCUCCACUGAGCCACAGUCCCCAAGCUGGGGGUAAUCUUUCUUACGAUAGCAGGUUUUAGCUCAGAGGAGCUUUUUCUACAUCAAAUCCUCAAUGCCUUUUUAGACAUUUGCAUCAAGUUGUAUGAUUCUAGUUUGGUGACCAAUCUCACCAAUAUUCACUGAAGUAUUUAUAUUUCCCUUCACUGAAACAAAGGUCUUCAGACCAAACUCAAUGAAUAAAAACAGACCUUAAUAAAAGCUCAACAUACAAAUAGGUUGGUCACAUAUUGUUGGUGCAGGGGCAUUAACACUUAUUCAGAGCAAUGGAGCACAUUCAAUCCCUUUAUCUGCUUUCAACUUUGCACAAAGGACAGAUAGUGCUAGAUAGAGACACUGUGAAAAGAAAGAGACAGUUUUCCAUCAAAAAGUUGGCACAAUCCGAACAUUGAGGAGCUAUAGGUCAUCAGGGUACCAGGCUUGACAGAUGAGUGUAAAAGCGGGUUUGCGUGAUCGAAUGAAGUGAUUUAACUAAAAACUGCUUAAACUGGCUGCAACUCCCAACACAAUCUCAGUGAGCGGUCUCAAGUAGACAGUUUCUUUGUUUCAGAUCUAUAAUAAAUCUAAGCUGCUGUAUUGGGUGAGUGGGCCGACAGCUCAGCGACGGGAGGUUGUUUUCCAUGUAGACUUACCUGUCUGCUCAUAUUAAUGCUGCACCAUGUGAGUUUGGUUUGCAGAGUCUGGCUCACGUGGUCAAGCUGUGUAAACUCUUUCUUCCUCCUCUUCGUGGACAAUCGUCUCGUACCUACCAUCAAUUAUUCAAGGAUAUAUAACAAACUAUUUUCAAAGUGUCAUUAUUUGGUAAACAAUUUAAUGUUUUUGACAAUCCUCCGUGUCCUCCUGUAUGGAGGAGCUGUUGGCUGAGACUGUUACAUAAAUAUACUAUGUAGCAACGUGUACUCAUUACAUUACAGGUCAUUUAGCUGACGCUUUUAUCCAAAGCAACUUACAUUGCAUUUUUAACCCAUGGCUUUUUACAUUUUUGCCCAGGACUGCUCUUGGACAGGAGAUUGCCUCGCUGGUUCCCUCGGUCUGCAGUCCUUGUGCCAAACUCAGCAUGCCGUCUCAGUAUCCAACAGACAUGAGAUUAAUCAUUUUCUUAUCUAACUCUCAGCUAGAAAUUGAAUAAGGAUAUUACAUAACCCAGUUUUACAGAAUACCAACCUUGCAUGUAUGUUUGUUGGUGUGUGUUAAAUUCUGGUAAGCAAUGGAGAGUAAACGUUCACCUGUUGAAACUGAAUGAUGAAAGGUGUAAUGACCAGAGACGAGGUGAAGGUUUUCUCAGCAACAGAAUGGUGGUUGCCAGCUCAAUAUUUCAUACCAGUGCAGACAUUGAAGACUUUAGGUGGCCGAGUUCACAACUGCGAGCAUGUAGUUUUAACAAUAGGAAGAUUACACUGUGUCUUUAAAGUGACUCAGUGGUUGAUUUGAAGCUAACCAGGGUAUUUCGGGAGCAGGACCACGCCUCCAACACGCCCCCUCCGGUAUUGCCAUAAAUACAGCUCAACCCACUCUUCUUGUUCUUCGAGUACGCAUUCCAAAACACGGCCGAGGUCAGGUAACACACGAUCGCACGUUACUUACGAACACCUUACCUACGUUACGUCAUCUAACCUCCUGCACCGAGAUGCUAUCGCACCUUCCCAUUCAGACAGCAACAACAUUUUCUCCAGGAAAGAACAGCAUAAACCACUCCGAAGUUUUCCACACCUCACGUAAUGGGAGACUUUUGCGGGUUCGCCUUGCAACCAGGCGCACGGCGGAUCCUCUAACAUAAUUACUCACAACCCAAACCAACCGACCAGAUGAAAUCAAUCAAUCAAUCAAUUACACGUCGACUAAUGAAGAACACCUUCAGUGGAUGGCGUGGUCCUUGCUAGUGAAAAGAGCAACUAUUACCAGAACAAAUGGAUUUAUCCUUGUCUGUAUAGAGUCUCUGCGUGUGACAGGUAGAUGUAAGACCUUCCUUUCCCGCUCCUCACCAUUUCCCCAUCUGUGUCUCUCAUUUACCAAUAAGGAAUCACAGUGUUUUCUUUACUCUUCACCGUUUGGUAUUUCCUCUAUCAUUUAGCAAUGGGCUGACGGUGCUCCUCCGCUCCCACUUGCUUUGGCACUAUCCCUUCUAUAUAUGUGUGUAAUCAAAGCAUAUAAUCAUAUGCUACACACCCACAUACUGUCUGAGGCUUUAAGAUUAUAUGUCUCGUGGAGUAAGAACAAAAUCAUCAUAUUAAUGGUGGAGUUUUGCAAUAAUACACAUAAUCCACUGUUUUUAUUUUUUAUUGGAUUGACCUUUGUAGAAGUGGUUUGAAUGGGAUUUUACAGAUGCCUAAUAAAGGCAUGUUUUACUAGCUUUUACUUUAUUUUGAUGGCUCUGUCGCACUCUGAGAUCUGUUAAUGAAGAGUGAGUUAUAAAUAAAAUGCAUUAUUAUUAAUAGCAAACAAGCAGAGAACAAUGUAGAGACUACUUUUUCAUGCAAUCACAGCCCACCAUAGGGAUGAACAAAAUAAAUCAUUAGCAGUAGGGGACAACCUCAGUUUAAACAGGUGAUACAUUAUACAAACAUUACAUUAUCAACAUUUAACUACACUUUAGUUUCUAAUUACGAUGAAAAACUAUCCCGACAAGACUUUUAAAUUGAAAUCUGUUAAAUUAAGUUUAUUUGACAGUGAAGCACUGUAAAUGUCACCACAGAGAAUGGUUUUGGCAUUCAUAUCAUAUAAUGAAUACAUUUUAUCACUUAAUUGUCCUAGUAAUUGUACAUACAACAGGAAUGCACCGUAAUCUGUAAAUCAUUCAAUAUUCUGAUUUUGACAUGAAUUACCUUUGAUUACACACCAUUGUGGUGCCAAUGGAGAUAAAACAUAUACACUUAACAGCCAGCACUGUAUUUAUAGUCAUGCUUUGUAAUGAAAACAGUUUCUCACUGUUAAUUGUAAAGAACCUCUUACUUAAAACAGCAAUACACCAGAAUAUGAUAUGAAGGGUAAGUGGCCUUGAAGUUGACUGACUGACAGCGGCCAGUCUGUGACGAACUUUUUAACCAAUUUCAGCGUCAGCUGACAACAUUGUGCAUCUGUUCAGUGGCAAACCGUUGGAGUCAGCUGUCAGUGUGCUGGUGAUGCUUGGCAUUUAAAUGCACUGCAGCGUUAUGUGAUCGCCAGUGUUUGGAUACUGAACAGCACUUAUUUGCUUAUUUGAAGGAGCAUCUUGUGGAAGGACGCAUGGGGACUUGUCCUGUGGGUGGAUGCAAAAAUGUUUUUAUGGUCAAAUCUUCAUUUACGACCCAUAUGUCACAGAAACAGUGAUUUUGCAGACAGUGCAAUUAGGGACAUAAAAUAAUUUGAUCUAAUACAGCAACCUUUCAGACAUGGCAUUCAAACUCGGGAAUAACUUUUUGGGUACCCAGGGAAUUGGUACGAUUUGAGUCCGUUUAAAUGCCAAAAGCAGUUUCCUUUACUUUUAAAGAUAAUUCUGAUGUCACUCCCUUCAUCCCCUUACUGUCUCGUUCAGGUAUGAUAAUAACUAUCAACAGUUAUACUUCAUGUGGACCUCAUCACCCUUUUUGUUGUCCUACUAGUAUAACCUUAUGAUCUGAUGCAAGUUGUCAAGAUUAAAUGGUGGUAAGUUGUUGUAAAGUUAAGGCUUUAUUCUAUUUCUGGAAGCACUUUAAAUAUUGUUGAUGUUGAGCACUGCAUGAACCUAGACUUUCCAUAAUUUAAUAUAGGUUCUACUUGCAAGUAAAACCUGUUUUGACUUUAUAGACAAGUUUCCCGGGCACUUCCGGUUUAUUUCCUGUUUCUGCCAAGAACUUCCGGCACAGGCUGAGUAGUGGUGUAAAAAUGGCUUUGGAAUGGCAACAUUCGACCGAAAAUCUUGUUAAAAGUUUUGACCAUUCCGCAUCCAAGUAAGGUAACAUCAUGGCCGGACAACAUGUCGAUAUGGCCCAGCAUCACAACAUCCAAGAUCUUUUCUUAUUUUAUUGAUUCCAUGGCGGUGGAUGGGAAUGCAAUUAAUAACCUAAGAAAGCUCAGAGGCGUUUCAGUACCUCCAUUCCGACAAAGUGGGCUGUGUACUUUUACACGAUAUGGGCAUAGAACGGCCGAUGUUCAACCAAGCCAGUCCGUUAACAAUUCAGCGCGUAACGCCUGGGUUUUGGUUACCAAGACGGGAGAUGUGGAGCUUUGCGCUUUGGAAGGUACGUUAGCCCAUCUUAUGCUUGUAUUAAGAUGUUUGUAUGUAUCCGUGUGUUAAUAUAUAACAGAACACGAAGAGUAAUAAAAAGAAAGUAAUCCCCUCUAGCCUGCCUGCACUAAAAGCAUUUAACCCUUCAAAGUCGACUGACGAGCGUCAAAGUGCGCACCCCUGACAUAUCUAUUAAUAGCUUCGGAAUGGAUAAAAGGUAUUAACUUACUUUUUUUUCUAUGAAAAAGCUGACAUUCGUCUGCGUAGUAAUUAGUAGUCUGUGUUGACUUUGAAUGAUAAGCCUUCCGUCUUUGAGUGCAAAUCUAUAGCAUUUUACUCACUUGUAGAUGGUUGAUGGUCGAAACAUUCUCCUUCCGACCAAACAUUCAGCAAUCGGCACGAGUUGUUGCAACCGUGAACAGCACAAUAUGUCCCGGAGCCGUGUCGGCGUGUAACACCAUCCAUAGUUUACUUUUUCUGCACGCUAACCAAAGACCGUAAAAGACGCUAACUCGCUAACCGGAAGUGCUUUGCAGACACAACCGGAAGUCGUUGGCAGAGUGAAAGGCCAAUGGCGGCCCGCUUAUUUCACUCAGGAAACUUGUCUAUACACACUCAGAUUUUGACAUACCCUACUUUAUUAUGGCUAUUUCUUUUCCUAACUCAUUAUGGUGGCGGGAGUGGUUUUGGCUCUGCUGCAGAGGGGAAAGAAAGGGGGAGUGGCUCAGGGAACUGUGCCAGGUGGAGGCAAUUGGCCUCAGCUGCAAGAAAUCAUCAUUGUGAUUAUCUCCAUGUUUUAAAAAAGACAAAGGAAGAGCGAUUGGCGAGAGGAGAGUCGGCAGACGGGAGAGCUGGAUGCAGAGAGUGUGCAAUUACAGAUGUGUCGAUGUUUUGAUCAUUUGAGGGUUUAGGGGAGGAUGAUGACUGACAACGACCACCGGCAGGGGAUACUGGCCCAACCGAUCAUGGCGCUAGGCCAGAUGAUCGGCGAGCUGGCGGCUAUCCAGUGCAACUACGCAAUCCGAUAUCCGGAGGCAGGGCCAUUGCGCAAUAUCUCGGCAAAGAGUGUCGCGCAGGCUCUGUUUCAGGUCAUCUCCCGGGUCGGAAUCCCAAAAGAGAUUAUGACCGACCAGGGCACCUCGUUCAUUUUUGCGGACGCUGAGAGAACUUUACGGGUUUCUGGGCGUUCGGUCCAUUGGGACUAGUGUGUACCACCUACAGACCGAUGGGCUACUGGUACGCAUGAAUCAGACGCUGAAGUCCAUGAUCGGUUAUCAGCGAAGAUCAACGUAAUUGGAAUAACUGUCUUGAUCCUCUGUUGUUUGCAGUACAGGAGGUUCCCCAGGCCUCCAUGGGAUUUUCUCCCUUUGAACUUUUGUUUGGACACCGAGGGGGGGGUGAUGGACCUAAUUAAAGAAAACUGGGAGGAAGGUCCGAGCCCCGGCAAGAUCGAGAUCCAGUACGUCCUGGACCUGCGAGCAGAGGAGCCAGGCUGCGGCAAUUCACACCGGGAGAAAAGGUACUUUUAUUACUUCCAACUCUAAACUAAGCUAAGUGGCAAGGGCCCUUUGAGUUGUCACACGGAAGGUGGGGGAUGUUGCAAAUAUACCACCUAAACCUCCUGAAAGCCUCGAGGGAGGUGGAGUCUGUUUCUCUGGUGUCCGCGGUAUCAGAAAAAAAGAGCUAGGGCCGGAGGUGGCAAAAGCGGUUAAUCCCACCCCACCCCGCUCUCGUGCGAGGCCCGUCUCUCCGAGGACCAGAGAACGGUUUAUCGUGGACUAUGGCAGGGUGAACGAGGUGUUACAAUUUGAUGCCUACCCAAUGCCCCGGGUCGACUAACUCCUGGACUGGCUGGGCACUGCAUGUUUCUUUACGACCCUGGAUUUGACUAAGAGCUACUGGCAGAUUCCUCUGUCGUCAGAGUCCAAGGAAAAAACUGCUUACUCCACUCCGUAUGGGUUAUACCAAUUUACCACACUUCCCUUUGGCUCGUUCGGUGCCCCGGCCACGUUUCAACGGUUCAUGGACUGGGUACUGCGUCCACACGCCGCCUAUGCUGCCGCCUACUUGGAUGAUGUUGUUAUUAUCCACAGCACCACCUGGGCGGAGCACGUGUGGCGGGUAGGUGGGGGAAGUGUGCAGUUGAAGGGAGGUACGGUAUUUGCGGUACCACUUGGGGGGCGGGCAGGCGUGCACUCAGGUGGACAAGACGCCAGCUAUCGCGGCCUGCCCACGACCCAAGACUAAAAAAGAGGUUAGGUGGUUUUGGGGCAGGCGGGGUAUUACAGGCGCUUCAUCCCCGGCUUUGCGGACUUCACCAGCCCCUUGACUGAUCUGACCCGGAAAGGUCAGUCAGAUCCAGUGGUCGGAGCCAGCAGGCGUUUGAGAAGGUAAAGCAGACUCUCUGUGGGGAACCACUCCUCUACACCCCUAACUUUUCUUUUCCCUUUACUUUGCAGACAGACUCAUCGGACAAGGGGCUGGGUGCCGUUUUGUCCCAGGAGGUGGGGGGGGAGAGUUGACUGCCCCGUGUUAUAAAUCAGCCGGAGGCUGUCCGAGUGGGAGGCCAGGUACAGCACGGUGGAGUAGGAGUGCCUGGCCAUCCAGUGGGCGUUGGACUCCCUGCGCUACUACCUCCUGGGACGUCAUUCACCCUCUGUUCGGACCACGACCCGCUCCCCGCAUGAAGGAUACCAUACUAAUCUCCGCUCCCUCUUUUUUAAAUUGGUUCUGUUCAACCCUCUUUAAUGUUUUGUGUCUGUCUUUUUUGUUUUAUUUUUGUGUGAACUUUGUGGGAAUCGUAUUGCAUCUGUAAGUGUCGGUAUUGUUAAUAUUUCUUCUUUUAUCUGGCCGUAGAGUCGAUCAUGCCCGUUCCUGUGAACACCAAAUUGACUUGAGAAUCCUCAAGCUGAAAUAACAUCACCUGCCCAAAGUUCCAGUUUCCUGAAUACAAAGCCCUCUGUUUGGGAAUUUAUCCCACCUGACGAGUCUCGACGCAGUGACUCAAACAUCUUUGUCAAGGUUAAUUACAGGUAAGAUGUGGUGUAGUUCAGUGUAGCAAAUAAAAUAAUACAAAUAAUACUUGUGUGUUCAUAUAUAGGGGAAGCACGUCUUCAAAUGCAAUAAAACGCAUGAACAAAACUUACUGUAAUUUUCUUUUGGUGGUAUUUAAUAAAGUUUUAUAGAAUUAAUGAAAUUAGUGCAAUGCAAAUAUCCUGGUUGUAUAACAUGAUUCUCUUUUUGAUUGAGGAAUCUGUAUUCAGGUUGCUUGUCGACACAAAUUAAACACAUGCUGAUUAUUAGUGCUGAAAUGUGUAAAAAAUGAUUUACCAUUCGACCUGAUAGUCAUCUAGAUGUCAUAGAAAAUAUUUUCUAACCAAAUUAUUGUCCAGUGUGCUGGUUUCUUCCCAGUCAUUGGAGCUCAGUUUAACACCAGACGGCAGUGAAUGUUUCUCAGAUUGAUGCAGCAGUUCAGCAUAAUUUUUCUAACUAUCUUCUUUCUUUUUUUGGGACUGCAGAGGAUCAUUGCAGUCCAAAUUGAACACUGACUGGUCAACAUGAGUCGUCAAGUGCAUGUGUGUGACUCCCCACCGGGUUGUGUGACCUCCUCAGUCAAGUCUGGACUCAGUGAUUCAUUACUCUUGAUCAUGUUUACUCAUUUAUGGACACAUGCUGUUUUUUGUGUUUAGCUAUAGCUAAAGUUAAAAUCCAUUCCAAAACAAUUGUAUACUGUAUUUUUUGUAAUUGAAUUAUUUUUUCUUUUUAAUGUUUGCACUUGUCUCAAUUUUUUCUUUGGCCUAGAUGUCAAGCAAACGUUGGACCUGUCCCACACGUACUUUUUUCCUUUCAACCUUAGGCUAAUCUUAAAAGGAAGAGGUAGUGUGCAUUAGAAAGAGGGGUAGAGAACUGGCACAACUUCCAGUCUUUGUUUGUGCCACGCUCUUACAUUAUUAUUUUAUUGUGUAAUUUAACAACUGAAAAGUUGAUUCUUAUGCCCACAGUAAUUUCCUGCCUCCCUCCCUCAUUUACAGAGACUCACUCUUGUGGCCAAUUAGUCAAUGUCUGUUGAAAUGUCUUCAUUUUUCAUUUGAGUGUUCAUUGAUCAGUAUAAUUGUAAUUAAUAAGCCAAUUUCACUUGGCAGAGAUGGGAGUUUUUGGCACUUGUUUUGAAUACCCUCAGUUAGUUACGGGGGAGGAAACGAGGGUCUCAUUAACUAGGUCGAAAUACAUGACUUUAUUAAUCUUCUACUGCCUGGGAUGUUAAAGAUUUGGUAUCAUCAGGCAGUUUAUGCUGUAUGGUAUUCACCACUGCACAUCUAGAGCUGACCUGAAAACACUGCUAUUGAUGGAUUCUGCUUGUGUGAACACCUGAUAAAGAAAAUGAAAGAGCUAAAGGAGGGUAAGCACUGGACAUAUGUUUGUUAGGGCAUUGUUACGGCCUUUUGGAAUGUUUAGGGAUAUGGCUGCAAGGCGAGCAAAAUAGCUGAAAGUGUAUCUACUUUGCCUGUGAACAUAGCAACCAGGAAAAGGAAGUUUAAUUAGGGAAAGGUUUUCAGUCUUCUAUACAACUCAACAUCACGGUUGUAAUUUUUGUCUUUUAAAGGGCUUUCCAGUCUUUAAACAUGCAACAUCCUCUGUCCCGAAACCCUUACAACAGCACAGGAAAAACUUGAUGAAAAAACCCUUUAACCGGGAGAAAAGAGGAAGAAAGGGCAUAGGAGGGAUCCCUCUAUCAAAAUGAACAACACGUAAAAGAUGUACAGUAUGUACGAAAUAUGACAGAAAUAAUUUAGAGUAGUGGGCGUCGUCACGACUUAAAAUGACUACUGAUAAUAAAAGCUGUAUUGGAUGAAGAAGGCUAACAAUAAUAACAAAUGAUUAUGGUGUCAGCAAUAGUGAUAUGACUACUGUAAAGGGCUGAGGGGCAGAAUAGGAAAAGGGGUGUAUGUACCUACACCAUCGGAAUCAAGCCAUCGCAAUCAGGUGUGCCAGGAGACAUACCUGGACCUCAUCAAGGGGGGUACAAAAGAAGGCGGAAGGAGCAGUGAAGGGAGACAAGUUGAGGGAGGACCCCGUAAGCGGCCCGGCGUUUGUUUCCUUAUUUUUAUUUGAUUAAACUGCUCAAACGACACUCUCUGCCUCUUGACUUUUGCACAGCCAGUUAUUUGAAAUCCUCUGUGCCAUCUUGUUACACUACUAAUAAUAAUGACCAUAGAUAUCAGGCAGGACCAUUGCAAGAACAACCACCGGCCAGAUAACCACCAUCCACAGAAAAACCUGUGCGCAGGGAGGCACAAAAACUUCAGGAAUGAAGCAAAGUUGGUAAUCUGGGUUUAGGUCAAAAGUAAUGUAGUGACAGUAGCAACAGGUUUGUUGUUGUUCAAACUCUGCGUUUGAGUCCCGCCUCCACCUUCCCGUUUGUGACAGAAUGACGCGACCACUUAAGGACUCAGCAGACCCGUUGCCAGAUUACGGACCUGAUUACCUGGACGUGAGGAGUCCAAGUUUUGGCAGUGUGGUGGAAGAUUUUGCACAAUUUGGACAAUCGUUAAGUAAGAAACAAAGGCUCUGAGUCAAGUAUGUCUUUUCUCCGUUUAUUUCCUUGCAAGGGAAAAAGGGUCACAACAGCUACGUGGUCAGUAGACUGUCAAGAACCUCCUUCUCCCCCCAACACAUAGAGGCAGUUCUUAUACCUAAGUUUAGAUAUCGGUGGCGUCAACAGAAACCUUUGACCAUCUAGUUGAGUCUCUACAGCCAGGGUACUGGGAACAUCUUUUCAAUGUAAGACAUGUCAGUUCUUUGACCGUGUCCUUGCUCUCCCAACAUGCGAGCACAAAUGCACAAAUGUGGUCAUAGACAUAACAAACACUUUGUUCAAUCUCUACAGCUAUGACGCUGGAAACUUCUAAUCCAAGUGGGAGACAUCAGUUCUUAUGUCAGGGCCUUUGUGAUCUAAGCACUUGCAACUAAUAAACUGGUUAUACAAAUGAAGCAUUUAAAAGGGUUACAUAUCAUUUUCCCAUUACAUUCCACUCUUUUGAUUACAUAAUAAUCACACACUAUGCAUCAAUUUAGAAUGCCUACUCUAAAAAUUUACCAUCUGAUAUUUACCACAUCAAAUAUCACAAAACAUGAACAUCUGGACAUCGCUCACAAAACUUUGCCUGCCACAGAACAAAAACUCGCUAAAAAACCCUCCGAAAUGGGAAAAUAGGAAGAAAUCUGUUAAGAGAAGAUAAAGACUGGAAACCUUCUCACAGGAUUUGAGCGUUACACCCCAGAUGUCAUGUGUACAGUAUUGAAAUGAAAGGAAAUGAAAACCUGUUUAAAUCACAAUACCGGAACUUGAUUCCCUUUCACACAAUACAGUUAAAUAAUAUUGUGGAAAAGUAAUUAUAUCAAUCAUAUUUACGUUACAUACUAAUAAAUGCAGGGAUAAAAGCUGUUUUUGUGAGAAUGUUAUUUCUCAUUGUUUUAGCAAGCUACUGUGAAACAAAAAACAUUUAGAACCUCAGGAAUGCACAGUGUGUCACUAUUACACAGACAAACUUUUUUUUUGGCCCCAGGAGCGAUCAAAGAGCUUGCCUUGAGCUAAGAGACCUCUUCAACCCCAGGAGAAAGAGCCCAGGCAAGAGGAAGCAGCAUACCCCAGUUCCCGCUGGGCGGCAGCGACCUCUGACCCCAGUACGCAUGUCUCCGCCUCCAGUCCCGGCUCGCUCCCCCGACGCUUCCAGUCCCGGCUCGCUCCCCCGACGCUUCCAGUCCCCGCUCCCCGACUCGCACCCCGGACGCUUCCAGUCCCCGCUCCCCGACCCACACCCUCGACGCUUCCAUGAACCUCCCUCUCAGGCAACUUGCUCCUUCCCCCCAUGUGCUGGUCUGAUUGUUUCCACCUGUGCCCCUACACUGUCUGAGUCUCCCUUUGUCCUCUGCCAGUUCGUCUCGUCUCACGUCAAGGAACCAGUGCAUGUCCGCAUCCAUAGCUUUACCAUGUUUUUGUUCUUAGGUUUAGUGUUUUCCUCGACCACGAGUAAUUUUUAUUUCAGUGGCACUUGCCCUUUUGUUAAUAAACUUCGAUUUAUUUUGGAACUUUGUCUAAAGAGCCAUGCACUUGGGUUCAGGGCCAUUGUCCGUUCGUGAUAGAUUCUGCAUACAGGCAGAAACUAAAGCUCUACAAACCUGUGAUGAGGGAAUUCAAGAAGUGGACCAGUGAGGUGCUGCAGGAUCUUUGGGCGUGCUUUGACUGCACAAUCUGGGAUGUUUUCAGGACUGCUACCAACAGUCUGGAUGAGUUCAAAGAGGCUGUAACUUCUUACAUUGCCCUCUGUGAGGACAGCUGUGUACCACCAUGCACUAGGGUGAGUUAUAACAACAAAAAACCCUGGUGUCUUUACCGCGGAACUCAGUAAGCUGCAAAAGGAUCAGGCAUUUAGGUGUGGGGAGUGUUCAGUCAAAAUACAGUUUUAGCAAGGCGGUUAGAGAUGCUAAACGACUGUACUCUGCGCCGUUCCCUCACCGUGCUGCCCGUCCAUGUCCCCGAUCGUCCCUGGUCAGGCGCCACUGUAGCGGGGACGGAGGUACCACAGUCUACUUGGCAAUAUACAAUUUUUCCUUUUGCAGUGAGCAGGUUUUGGGCUCCUCGGCCUUGCACCUCAGCAUCUGCUCCAGUCUCUCGCUCGCCAAGUCCUGCUCACUGCUUUUACAGGGGAGACAAUCAACUACCCACCCGCACCGUUCCUGAACCACUCCCCCGCUGCAGCUGAGCUAACCACGCCUGCCACCACACUGAUUCAAUAAAAAAAAUGUAUCAAAUAUACAAUCAGCGUCCUUAAACACCUAUGUUUUGCCCCUAGUCAAGGCGGGUAUCGACAGGCAGAUGAUAUUCUGGAGGUAGUAAAGAGCAUGGAUUUUAUUGCUAUUCAAGCGGACAAGACAAAUUACAUUUAUACAGUACAUAUCAUAUCAUACUGAUAAUAUGGGCGACUGUGGGUGAGUGGGGAGCACGGUCGUCCUCCAAUCAGAGGGUUGUCGGUUCGAUCCCAGGCCCGGCUAACCUGCAUGUCGUUGUGUCCAUGGGCAAGACACUUAACCCAACAUGGCUCCUGUAGCUGCGACUACAGUGUGUGAAUGUUAGUUACUGAUGGGCAGGUGUCACUGUGUAUGGUUCUCCUGUCAUCAGUGUAUGAAUGGGUGUGAAUGGGUGAAUGAUGUCAUGUAGUGUUAAAGCGCUUUGAGUGGUCAGAAGACUAGAAAAGCGCUGUACAAGUACAGUCCAUUUACCAUUACCAUUUACCAUAAUUAUUUAAUAUAUAUUGUAUAUAACACUGGGUUAGGCUUAGGCCUGUGAGGGUGACAAAAAUAAGAUUGUCAAAGUGAUAUAAACUGGGUUUUUUAUAUUAAUAUAAAUUAUUUAACUGCAACUUUGCUAUCUUAAUUGUUUUGUAUUAAAUCCACCUGGGAUGUUUGUGCGAAAUUGAUUUCAUAACCCUACCUAGAACAUUUUCCACUAGCCGCCACUGAACAGCUAUAAGUCGCAAAUUUAUACAGCUUGAGUUGAGAGACUAAAUCGGUUACCUUUUGUAUCUUAAAACAACUAAAAUAUGAAUUAUCAUGUUAUAAGAUAUAACAUUAGGUCCAAUGGAGUUUGCACUGUGAUCUCAUCUAACUCUCUGGGUACCUACCCUUCUCCGUUCAGGCCUGUCAAAUUUCUGACCAAAUGGCAACGCUCAUACUGAGCACUUUGAUGGCAUGACCGCAAUACCACUUGUCAUAAAUAUAAAUGACAGCAUUAAUAAAUGAUAACAUCUCAUUCAAUUCCCUCAUUGUGCAUGCAAAUAGGUUUAACGGGAUAACACGGGCAAAGUGUGGUCUGAUGUGAAAAGUGUAAUUGUAACAAGGGUACUGACCUCAGAUCAUUAAUAUUAAUUCAGUACAUUGUCUCGGUGCGAUUCCCCAAUGCAGCCGAUGACCCCAGAUAUGAAUGGGUUUGAUUUUCAUUCAUGUGCAAAUUUUUGGAGCUGAUUGUGUGCUGCUGCAAGCAUUGACUUUAGGGCAGUCAUUCACUGAAUUCGAUAUCAAGCAUUCCUUAUUGACAUUUAGUUUUCUAUAUUCUUCUUUAUUAUCUUUAUUAAUAAGACUUUCAAAUUAGUAUUUGCAAAAAGGUCUCUUAAUACUAAUUACACUAAUCUAUCAGUAAUAUGGGAAUUUAUCAGAUCUGUAAUGAUGAAAAGGUAUAUCUAUAAUAGUAACCUGUAGCAGGCCCAGUUUGUCACAGUUGAAGAAGGCACAGAUUUCCUGACUGUCAGUUGUAUCUCCCCCAGUGCAGAGAUGUGUAAAAUAUAUAUUUUUUUGCAAUUCUCAAGUUCCUUAUGUUUCCUCAUCUGCUGGAUAACAUCCAGUCAGUUGGAGCACUUUGUAGCUGAAAUUCAAAAAAUAACAACUGUAUCAUCACUUGGUGUUAGCAUACAACAGCGGAUAUAGGUACCCAGGUAGCCAGCGGACUCUGCCGUAUUGUGGCUGAGUGUCGGGUAGCUCGGCUCGAUGUGGCGAGAUUUAUGCCAUAUCUGGCCCAGAUGUAGCUGUUACAGACAUUGCCCUAUUCAGGCCAAGACAUGGCAGUUGGGUUUAUUGGCAACCAGCACUAAAACUAGUUCUGGCCCAUUAAUGGCUGCCAGUGUUAUGGGUCAGCUGCUGUUUUCUCCCCAUGCUGUGUGUUUGUAGCUUCCUUUUCUGUCUGUGCUAAUUGUCCCCACCUACCAGAGGCGUGGCCAGUCAUCCUGAACCGUCCCCAGAUAGCUGAUCCCCAUUCCACAAUUCACCCCUCCAGUAUUUAAACCCGGCUGUCCGCUUCUUCAGCGCCAGAUCGUUACACACCCCCACGUGGUAACUCGACUUCGUAUCGUGGCUCGCAAGACUUUGAGUGUCCUACUGUCUCUUUGUCUAAUCCUGAUUCCUCUGUCCAGAUCCCGCUGUCCCCGAUCUGACCUGCCGUGCCACCCGCCUCGCAUCCCUCCGGAGUCCACCCCCGGCUGUCCCCUUCCCUUGAAAUCUGCAUUCAUUAAAGUCACUUCUACGGAUGAUCAGUCCAAUCUCUGUGUGCCGGUUCGAAUAUCCAGCCUUAACAGAACAAUCUGGCCAUGGACCCUACGGAGAUUCCCCAGGCUGUUCAGGUGGAUGGCACCCAACGGGCUAUCAAUUCUCAGGGAAUUUUACUUGGCCAACACGACCAGUUAAUCUGGACCCUUCUGGAGAACAAUCAGCAGCUAAUUAUCCAGGUCACCAAAUUAACUACACAAGUGGCUAACCUGUCUGUUCCCAAUCCCCCUCGCUCUCUGCUCCCUCUGUCUCACCACCUGUUUUCCCAGACAUGGCAACCAUUCCCUCCCACCGCGAACCUCCCGUCAACUCACCUGAGCCCUUCGCUGGGGAAUUGGAUAUUGGAUAAAUUGGAUGCAGUGGAUUUCUCCUUCAAUGCGGGCUGAUCAUCCAACAACGGCCGCAGUCUUUUGCCACUGAGUCGUCUAAGGUACACUAUGCCCUGGGGUUAAUCCGAGGCAGAGCAUUGGCUUGGGCUGAAGCGGUAUGUACCAAUCAAUUGUGGUCAGGAUAAAAUUUAGAUAAUUUCUCCUCCAAACUGAAGUGUAUUUUUGAUCACCCGGACUAUCCUCGGAGCACUUCAAAGCGACUGAUGAACCUAAAGCAGGGUGCAAACAGCGUGGCAGACUAUUCGGUUGGAUUUUGGACACUGGCGGCGGACUCUAAAUGGAAUGAGGAUGUGCUACAGGGAGCAUUCCUCAAUGGGUUAAAUGAAGUUGUUAAAGAUGAACUAGCGGUCCGGGAUGAACCUAAUGAUUUAAAUGGUCUCGUGUCCCUUGCUAUCAAGAUAGAUAACAGGUUUUGGGAGAGGAGCAGUCGGCCAAGCUCCACGGGUCAGGUUCCUAUCCCAUCAACCUUCCGAACCACUUCCCCUCUGCUGCGGUGCCCCACCCCUCCUGUACCAGCCCGGAGGGUCGAGAACGAAGCUAUGCAGCUGGGCUGUGCUGGGCUCUCCCCUGCGGAGUGACAACGCCCUAUCCAGGCAGAUGAGUGCCUGUACUGCGGUGACUGCUCUCACUAUGUUGCAAGAUGCCCCUCCCAGCCAAAAGACAAGGCUUGCUGGUAAAUGUGGGCCUACUAGCGAGCCCAACGUCUGACACAGAACUCACGGCACCCCGAUUACUAAUCCCAGCCACGCUGCAACGCUGCCCCUCUCCUUAUUGACGCCGGUGCUGAGGAUAAUUUUCUCGAUCUCGACCUAGUCACUCAAGCCGGUUUCCCCAUUGAGUCGAUUUCUUACCUCCUCCGUCUUACUGCCAUAAAUGGUCAUCCCCUAGCGAAGAUUACUCACCAAACCAUCCCUUUUACGUUGAUUCUGUCUGGGAACCAUCGGGAAAAAAUCUGUUUUAAAGUCAUCUCCGCCUCAACCACCUCUAAUCCUCGGUUUUCUUUGGUUGAGUUUACAUAACCCCCAAAUUGAUUGUCAGCAUCAAGCUAUCCAUAGAUGGAGCAACCAUUCUGAGUGCCUGGGAUCUGCUUUUCCUCCAGUGAAACUUCAUCUGAUUUAUCCCGUUCCCGAGAAUUAUCAUGACCUUUCGGAGGUCUUCAGCCAGGAUAAAGCUUGUCACUACCUCCCUCCCUCCUGCUGCAGGGCCUUGCCUUCGAGUCGGCUGUAUAACCUGUCCCGGCCAGAGACGGAGGCGAGGUGAAAUACAUUGGUGACUCUCUGGCGGCUGGUAUCAUUCGCCCUUCGCCGUCCCCGGUUGGGGCCGGUUUCUUUUUUGUCAAAUAAAGAAGACGUUACGGCCGUGCAUCGACUUUCAUGGACUCAAUAACAUAACGGUGAAAAAUAAGUAUCCCCUGCCCCUCAUUAACUCUGCUUUUGAACCCCUUCAGGGCGCCACGUUUUUUUCUAAACUACCUCCGGAACGCUUAUCAUCUCGUUUGAAUUCGCCACGGAGCAGCCUGAUCUCCAAAUCCUGUUCGUAAAAAUGUAUACGAAAAUCUUGAACAUACAAAUUCGUAGUGAUACAUACUAAAUAAAUACGGACUGCAACUGAUGACGUCACCCUAUUCAAAGUGAAUGGGGACCUGCACCCCGUAAACACACUUCGUGUAGUCUAACGAUGUAAAAUAAACGUGUUAUGAUUGCAUUUUUUACGAGAAAUCAAUGUUAAAUUGUAAGAAUACAAUACUAACCCUAACCCCCUCAAAAAAUCCAACAUGGCGGAGAGACGUUCACUCAAGAAUCCAACAUGGUCCGCCAUGUUGUUCACUCAAGGGGCGUGGUUAACCACCGCCAGUUUGUAUGUAUUGUUAUGAAUUUGUAUGUUUAAGAUUUCCAUAUACAUUUUUACGAACAGGUUUUAGAGAUCACGUUGCACGGAGACUAAUGGAAGACUGCUUUCAACAUCCCUUUAGGCCAUUUUGAAUAUCUGGUCAUGCCAUUUGCCUCACUAACGCCCCGGUGGUUUUUCAGGCCAUGGUUAAUGACGCGUUGAGGGAUUUUCUGAAUCGCUUUGUUUUUGUGUAUCUCGACGACAUCCUCAUUUUUUCUACAUCCCCCAAAGAGCAUGUAUUCCACGUCAGCCAGGUCCUCCAGCGCCUUUUGGAAAACAAACUUUGUUAAAGCGGAAAAACGCGACUUCCAUCAGCGUUCGGUCUCCUCCCUCGGGUUCAUCAUUGAGAGUGGGCAGGUGUCUGCGUGUCCAAGGCGGUUACUGACAGGCCCAAGCCCACUACUCUCAAACGAUUACAGCGUUUUCUGGGGUUUGUCAACUUUUAGAUUUUAGAUUCAAGAUUAGAUUAAACUUUAUUGUCAUUGCACAGAGUACAAGUACUGAGGCAACGAAAUGCAGUUUAGCAUCCAACCAGAAGUGCAAAAUAGCAAAAAGUGCAGAGUAUGUGCAUAUGUAAAGUGUAAUAAGUGAAUAAAUAGAUAUGUACAGUAAGAGAUAUGCAAUAUGAACAGUAAUUGGGACAAGAAUAGCAGCAAUUGAGGUAAGACGUGUAGGUAUGAUAAGUACAGUGUUCGUACAGUGAAGCGCUAUGAAUACUUUCCGGAUGCACUGUAUAUGUAAAGUGCAGGUGUAAGUAUUAGUGGUUGUAAUAAGUGAGAUGAAGUGAAAGAGGUAUUAGUAAUAUUAUAUUUAAGAGGUAUUGUAGGCAGUGCUGUAGUGGUAAAAUUAGAGGUGGGUAAACUCUGAAUUUUGUGAUCAUACAGACCUCGACGCGAUGCGAAGCAACGCAACACAAAGCGCCGCGACUCUAAAGCGGUCCUGGCUAUAUUGCAUUAUGUUAUCAGUAAAAGUCAUAUACAAUGAAUGACAAUGAAUAAAUGUGUUAGUAGUUUAUUAAAUUUAAGAAAACUAAUGAAAAGUAUGUCAAGACAAGACAAUUGCAGAUUAAGAACCAUCUACAUAUUGAGUCUCCUUUGUACAGUCGUGCCCAGAGGGCCUCCUUGUCCUCCACAUCAGGUCCUGCCUUGCAGGGGCGGGUUCUGGGGUUCAUGGCUCCUCUGUCCUUCUCCUCUCUCUAUUCGACCUGGUGUUUCUCCAAAUAUGUUGAAUUUAAGAGUUGUGGGGCUGAGAACACCAGUUAAGCAGCCCGUCAAUUACACUGACAACAUAAGUUAAAGGAACACUCAUGUACUACCUAUGUCAUCAUCAAUAGCCUAUACGGCAUGUUUUUUUUCACAUUGAGAACUGACUUAUUUUCUAAUCUAUGUUUACAGUGUAUUUCACUUACAGGCUACUCUACAACUUUCAUGACUUCAAAUAAUUGAUUAAGCAUAUAGGCCUAUUCAGUGAAGCAACAGCUUUGCUCCCCUCACGUUUUCUAUGUGAGAGCAGGACAUGCGGUCAUCAUGAAAGUAAAAAACUAAUAUAUUUGACCUUGACCGCGAAAAUGGACGAUUCUAUAGCUAAACUAAAACAAUUCACUUAGCUAUGUCUAACUGGCUUGCAAAUAAUCUGUCGACAAUUUUUCAAUGAAUUGGCCUAAUCUGCAGCAAUAUGCGUUAAUUACUGCGUUAAAAGGAUAAUUACUCAUUUUAUUAGACCUAUUUAGAUGGGACCGGGAAGGCUGGCUCAUCGUAUUUGAAAGCACGUUAUUAAUAGCGUUUGUCCCUGUCUUAAUGUGAUGUUGUGCAAACCAAAACAACGUUUAAAAACGUGAAUUGAUCUUCAAAGUCUUACUUUGUACUUGAGGCCUUAUGCGGGCAUCUGUGGGAGUGGGAGCACUCGAUGGUCUCUUCAAAUAUCGCCUGAUAUCCAUUGCUAAUUACCGACGGUAAUCCAUUCCGAAGAGCAGGCAGGCAGGCUAAUCCACAACGUGUAUGUGUUUACACACCUCCUGGAUCCUGAUUGGUGUCGCUGCUGCAGCCGCAAGGCACUGAAUGGAUGGUCAGACCAUAAUACAGCGCAGAUGAAAAGGAUUCAGACCACGCUGUUUAUAUGUUCAACAAUAGGAAACGUAGCCUUAGCUGUUUUAAAAUGACACCAAGUUUAUUUCGUAUUAUUCCAACGGAAGAAUACAAGGCGCAGGGAACUUUGGAGGUGCGUAAACGCCACUUAGGUGCGUAAACGCUAUUUCCAAAAUUCCAGAGGUGCGUAAACGGCGUUUACGUGCGUUUACCCUCCACUACAGCCCUGAUUGUAGGUAUAAGUACGAUUUAAUACAGUAAUAAGUGGUAGAAAAAAACAUUCUGGUGCAAAUGUUCAGUGGCUGGAGGAGGGUGUGUGGCAGUCAAGCCAGGGUGGAGGGGGGAAGUACAGUCACUAAGGGAGAUGUGUGGGGGUGGGGGGCAGAGUUCAGUAGAAUGACAGCCGCAGGGAUGAAGCUGUUCCUGAACCUGCUGGUCCGGGCUGGGGUGAGAGCUGUCCUUUUUCGAUGCUGCGUGCCCUCCGCAGAUAUCUCUUGCUCUGGAAAGCCUCAAUGGUGGGGAGUGAGGAACCGGUGAUGCGUUGGGCAGUUUUCACCACCCUCUGCAGUGAUUUACGGUCCACGACAGAGCAGCUGCCAUACCAUACUGAGAUGCAGUUCGUAAGGAUGCUCUCUAUGGUACAGCGGUAGAAAUUCUCUAGAAUCAGAGGAGACAGAUGGGCCUUUUUCAGUUUCCUCAGAAAAAAGAGAUGCUGGUGUGCUUUCUUUACCAGGGAUGAGGUGUUGAGAGUCCAAGAGAGGUCCUCAGAGAUGUUUUACUGCAGAUUUAUCAAAGACUUUAGUUGUGUGGUAGCCCCCCUUACUAAAUUAAAACUUACUGACCCAAAGUCCCUUUCCACUGAUCUUCAGAGUCCAAUCUGGCUAUGGAAAGCUUACAGGGACUAUUUUCCUUCCCAUCUGUGUUGAUCCAUCAUGAUACAUCUUGCAGUUUGUUGUAGAGGCCUCUGACUCUGGGGUGGGAGCCGUUCUUUCACAACGCUCUCCCUCAGACCAGAAACUUAUCCCUGUGCUUUUCUGUCUAAGAAAUUGUCACCAGCAGAACGGAACUACGACGUGGGCAAUCGGGAGUUGUUGGCGGUGAACCUGGCGCUGGAGGAAUGGCGGAACUGGCUAGAGGGAAUGGAACAACAGUUUGUGGUGUGGACUGACCAUAAAAACAUCCCGUCGACCAAAAGACUCAAUUCUCGUCUAGCUUUAACUUUACUUUGACCUACAGACCUCGCUCUCAGAAUGGUAAACCAGACGCCCUGUCUCGUCAGUUCAGACGCUGAGGAGUCCAACAAACCUGCAGUCUUGCCUCCCUCCUGUAUUGUUGGGAAAUCGAGUCGCUAGUAAGAGCGGCCCAAGUUUCGGACCCUGGACCUGGAGAGGAACCCCCGAAUCGGCUCUUUGUUCCCAAGUCUGUGCGCCCCCAAAUUUUGCAGUGUGUCCACACCUCAUGUUUUGCCUGUCACCCUGGGAUGCAGCAAACUCUAAUAUUACUAAAGAGACACUUCUGGUGGCCUUCGGUGGAAGCGGACGUCCAUGCCUAUGUGGCAACCUGCUUUUGUGCUCAGGGUAAAGCCACCCACCAAUCGCCCUCUGGACUUCUGCAACCCCUUCCAGUCCCUAGUCGCCCCUGGUCCCACGUGGCGUUGGACUUCGUCACCGGCCUACCUAUGUCUGAAGGUAAUGAUACUAUACUUACCAUUGUGGACAGAUUAUCUAAAUCUGUUCACUAUAUAGCAUUACCUAAAUUAGCUACGGCUAGUGAGACAGCAGACCUCUUAGUCAAACAUGUAUUCCGUCCCCAUGGAAUACCUGUGGAUAUUUUUUCCGAUAGAGGCCCACAAUAUAUUUCACGUGUUUGGGAGACAUUCUGUUCUGCCCUUGGUUCCUCUGUCAGUCUGUCUUCAGGUUUUCAUCCCCAUCUAAUGGUCAGACGGAGAGGGGCAUUCAGGACCUGGAAGCAUCCUUCCGUUGUGUGGCCGCUCAGCAUCCCCCCUCUGGGCCAAAUACCUGCCUUGGAAUGAGUACGCUCAUAACUCGCUGACCACCUCCGCUACUGGCCUCUCGCCCUUUGAGGUAGCUCUAGGAUAUCAACCCCCAUUGUUUCCGCGUCCAGUUGCCAACUCGGGAUGAAUGAGAAUCGGGCCAAAUACACUGUCCCAUUUUUUUUGUAGUGCAUGGUUUGGGCUGAUGCGGGCCCAGUGUCGUACGAUUUGGGCCAGUGUAUUCGGCCUGAUUCUGGGGCGUCAUUCAUCCAAAUUCUCAGACGAGUCGGCAAACUGACUCCCGAGCUCAAGCCGGAUCUGGGCCAAGUCAUUUUGGCUACCUGGGUAAUAACCAUGAGAAGCUGGUUGUGAUACUGAUCCCCAAUGAUUUAAAACAGUUGUAUUGUUCUACCUCAGCUCCACUGAUGAAAAACAAGGGUGUUUGUCUUUAGCUGUUUAGUUUAACAGAGCAGUAGUUUGUCCCGGGACAGUCACAUCACCUCCGUUGGAAUUUGAGAAGGUCUGUCUGACUGAGAGGUCGGAAAGAUUUUGUGGUAAUCAUUUCGAGAUCUGCUCCUGUUAACAUAAAUGUAGCAAAUGCUGUUUUGGCUCAGUGGCGUGUCUAAAUGCACAAUCAUGCACUGCAAUAUGAAAAAAAAAAACAUAAUGACAUUUUUUCUUCGAUGUAGUUAUCUGAAAUCCGUCCCAAAAAAUAGAUAUAGACUACCUAUUUUCACUCAGGGAAAAACACCAAAUGAGAAUUUUUCAAUAUGAUAGAGCACCAUAUUAUUACAUGAUGUCUUCUAUUUUGGAAAUCCACUAUAACUGAAAACAUUUUUUGCAAGUUCACUAUCACUGUGUAAUCUGUGUAAAAAAAAGAUAGAUAGAUAGAUUUUACAGUGAAACAACCUCAGACGACCUUAAGGGCCAAAAUGUUUGUUGAAUAGUCAGAAAUAAAAUAUAAAUCUUCAUAUUGACGAAGUUAGAGAAAUACAUGCAGCUUCAAAGAAAUUGAUUUGCAAAGCAUGUCUACUCUGGACCAAUGAAAAGGGCAUUGGAUGUGAUCGAUCGAUAAUAUAUGUUGAACCAAAUUCAAAUACAAAUGCAACACCAAUUACAUUCUGACAUACUGAGCAUAGAUGCGCGAAAAAACGAAUUCCGCUCCACCGAUUUACUACACUUCUCCCUUUGGCAGUGUUAGAAUGUGAUAAUGAGCAAACACCAAUUAAUUGACAGCCACACCUUGAGCUUGAUAAUUGGAAAUUUGAUAGCUUCUAACACUUUUGUUGGAAAUUUCAUAAGGCUGUUUGUAAAAGACUUCUGAGAGUGCUUUUAUUUUGAGGGUAGGAAAACUAAAAGACUUUAAAGGACGGGAAAAUAUAUUUAAAAAAAACAGAAAAGGGUUACGGUUUUAUUGGUUUAGCACCUGGUUGAUAUGGGCACAAGUUUGUUAAAUAUUGUUUUAGGUAAUUAUGUUCUGUCUAAGAUGCUAAUCGGUGUUCAUAUGUAUUUUUCCUUAGUUCUUAUGGACGAUUAGUUUGAGACUCCAGACCAUUAUAUAGCCAGGGAUGCUACACUGUUUAAACACUGCAUCUGAAUUGUUCACCAUAAAGUGAGAGACAUAAAACCGGUGGACAUUCUUUAGUUUUCCUUUCAUAACUCUCAAUGUGGCUCAUAUGGGUUGUCAACAUUUAAUCAAAUAAACCUCCACUGUCUUGAUUUACAGGGAGACUUUAUUUAGGAGAGGUCUAGGUUAUGAUAAAAUAUGUAUCCUCUUUUUUUCCCUAUUCCAUCUUUGCACUGAAACCACAUUGUUUCUAACAGAUAAAUUCAACGGUGUAUCGUCUGCAUAACAAGUUUAGGCAGCAUUUUAAUGAGGAGAGACGUCUUUGAAUUUAGAGAACAGGUAAGCCAUACUCCCCUUGGACUCUAGACAUAGGUGGUGACAGCACUAAUGCAAUUGAUUAACGCAAACAGUGCCUACGUGUGGCUGGCUAGUUCAAAACAAAUCCCCCCCAAUGAGCUGACCAUAGGUAAAAAAGGUGGCAAGCUUCAUAUAUAAGGUAAAUAAAAUCGGCCUGAGAGGCUUGAGUUUGAGGUUUCUUUAAUACCAAUCAAAUAUACUAGUCUCUGUAACAGGAUCCGUUGUUCCAUGGUACAAAUUGGGCACUGAGGUCCAACAACACAAGAAAAGAGACAAGUCUUUUGUCCGAUGCAAGUAAAAGCUUAUUCGUAAUUUUCAUGAGUGCUGUUUCUGUGCUAUGAUGCAAUCAAAAUCCUUACUGAAAAUCCUCAAACUUAAAUCAAAACUUCAGUUCUCUGCUGAAUGUUGGUAGAAUACAUAAAAUAGCCUACCUUCGAUAUAAGGAGUUAUUUUUUAAAUAAUAUUUCAUCUCCACAAUGCAGAGUAAUAUUUUAUAAAUAUAAUUGACUGCCAAAACAAUUCUAUACUAAUAUAAAAGAAAGGAAUUAAUUAUAUUAUAUUGCGAGCACUGGUCGUGCUAGUCUCGUCUCUAUCCUCCUUUGAUACCUCCCUUACAAACACUCAUUGACUUCUACUGUGCAUGCACUAGCUGCUCACUUUUGCGCUCUCUAAACCCCCUUUCAUCUGGUUUCUCUGUAUCUGGCUGCACAAUUAUAAUCAAUCACUCAGUCUCCCACAUGUCCACACAGAUCAAUACAUAAAUCUAGACAAGAUCAAAUCGAAUACACAAACCCCCCUCAAUGUGAACACACAUCCCUGCUGUAACCCAAUGCAGGGCGGCUCUGAAUAGGACCAGGGUUUUAUUCUCAAUCACUACGGCAAGCCUGGCACAUCUUCUAUCCCUUCUGUCACUGAGGCUGAUGUCCUGGGUCAGGGCCAGCAUAAACCUUCCCCUUGCCUCCUGUUUUCUAUUGGUCCUCUCACUAUUUUUUUUCACUCCCACUUGUCUUCCUUUGCUGUGUCUCCGUUUUUUAACUGUCUCCUUGUCCAUCUUGCAGUCAGGGAGCCUGACUAAAAAAAAUAAAAGUAUUUUAUUUCAUGACAGGUAUAUACAGGACACUAUAUGUGGUUUGUGUGUGAGUAUGUCUACGUGUUAGUGUAGAAAGUAAAGGAAAGAAGGGACAUAAAGGAGUAGUUAUUUCCCAGGUGGUAAACAGAAGUGGAUUGUGGGGAAGAAUAGAGCAGGUUUUAUUUAGAUCCAAACCAGAGGCUUGAUUCUUUAGUCUUUCUGACUAACGAUAUCCUGUUGUCAUGGGAACACACUUAGCUGGUAAUUCCAUAUAUUACUUCAUACUCCAUGAGUACAACAAAACUGUCACACAGAGAAGUGAAAGGAAAGAACGUGGAAGUUGAGCAUAGCGUCAGUGUGCUGCCCAGCCUUCCCAGCACAGCAGGGCACAUUACAGUUUUAUGCACAGCACUCCUCAGGACAAGAAACCAGUGGCAAGCAGGACAGCACAGCACACGACAGGGAACUGAAGCUCAAAACAGCUGGGCAUGGAGCACUUUCUAAAUGCAAAACACAUCAGCAGAGACAGUUUCUAAAGCCUUUUAAAUUGAAAAAGAAAUGGCAUCCCCAUCCCGCGGUUAUUGUAAUGUUUUCUUUGGAGCUGUUUUGUUAUGCUCUAAGAUUUAGGUUGGUCCUUCACUUCAGGGCCCCGAUCAAAUGUCCUAUUAGCCAGCUCAAAUUAACUCAUUUUAUCACCAAAGGAAUAUUAUUUGCUCUUUUCUGUCCCGAUUAUAUCAGCUGAGGAAAUGAAGGGUCCCUGGGUGGAAGCCAGCUCAGCCAAACACUAAGGGAAGGUGCAGAGAAAGGAGAAUAAGGGUAGAUGAGAGGGACAACAAAUGGCUAAAGGGGAGAAGGGAGGAAUAUGAGGGACAUGGGAGUUGAGAAUCUCAAGCGAUCAGAUGGCGUGAAGGGUAGCGCUGUGAUUCAUCAACAACUGAGAAAGGCUUCGUCGGUGGACCUUUAUAGAAGCACAGUGUCAGGGAUGGGUGGAGGAAGGCAGGACUCAAACGCAGAGUUUCCAGGAAACAAAAAGGACUUUAAUAGUCAAAACUCCAAAGUAAAAGGCCAACGGGCAAAAACACACACAUGAACCGGGGGAAAAAAGGCAGGCAGGCAGGAACGAGGAACAUCCAGGACAAAAGACAAUGACGCGACCAAUGACAGGAGACACACACACCGCUUAAAUACACUAGGGAGGUGCAGGUGAUUGGACACAGGUGGAAACCAUCAGACAAUCACAGGGGAUGACAGGACCAGGGAGGAAGUGAAGUUACCCAGGGUGACACGAAGCAGAAACUACAAAAUAAGACAGGAAAUAACCCACACCGUGACAUGUUCACUUCUGCAUCUAUCCACCAAGUAUCGGAUCCGCACAGACAAUUUGUGGUGGAGGUGAUUGCCUCCGACAUAGGGGUUGGAGGUGUUCUGUCCCAGCGCUUGGCCACUGAGCAAAAGCUCUACCCCUGUGUCUUUUUCUCACGUCGGCUUUCCCCCACCGAAAGAAAUUAGGACAUUGGUAACUGAGAACUGCUAGAAGUAAAGCUGGCACUGGAGGAGUGGUGACAUUGGUUGGAGCUCCCAUUUCUGGUUCUGGUUCUCAUCUUUUCCCUGUGACUUUUUAAUCUGUUUGCUUGCAUUGAGGAAAACAGUCUUCCUAUUUCUUUGGGAAAAAGCAACAUGUUACUUUUUCUGUCUGUUAAAGGAGAUCUUGGUCAAUGGCACACAUUUGAGGGUCAAAGCUAGAAUACUAUCACCGGUGUUUUGUUUUUUGCAAAAGGAUUUAAGAUGCCCUCACCCGGUGAGGAAGCCGAAAGCUCAUGGCACGGACACAUCUGACUGAUCCACCAUUUGCAGUCUUGUCUGAAAAUUAUGAAAUAAUUAAGAACGACAUCCUCCUCACCAUUCUAAAUCCUCUUUUCCUCCUAUUGGAAACUAAAUUGUCUUUCCCUUUACUUAUUUCAUGUCCAUCCUUCUCCUUGGUUGGUUCAUUCUUAUCCUAACACCUUGUUUCUUUUCAGUUUCACAGCUUUGGUUCCUGCAUACUUUAUUCUUAUGGCAAUCUGUUCUCAUCCUUUUUCCAUUUUAUUCCAAGUCUAUGUGCAAUCAUCCCUUUUUUACAUCUUAUGUCACAGAGUGGAUGAUAACAGAUGAUUUAUGUCUGAAACCAUCUCUACCUUAUUGGUCCCCAUUGAUUUUCAGCUUAGGGAAAUGUCACUAUAUCUGUGAUAGUAAUCAAAUCAUACAUCACAGGGUGCUGAAAUGUCCUUUUCAGGGAUAUGACAGAUCUACAGUGCCCCGCACUGCAUCUAUUUCUUUCGCUCCCAUUUUUGGAAGGUUCUUGGAAUAAAUUUGCACCAUCACAUCCUUCCUCCAAAUACAAGAUGGUGUUUAUUACAUAUACAGUAUUAAGGUCUCUAUUUGACUAUGCAAAACUGAGGGCUUUGUUAGGAUCACUAUAUAUAAUCUGAGUUUAUGGGUCAGGUGCUCACUGGAAGGGGCAAAAAAAAAAGAAAAACUCUUGAAGUGAUUUAAUCAGCGAUUUUUGUAAUCUCUGUCUCUCUCACACACAAGCUGCAUGUUUAGAUGAGCAAAGCCUUGCACUGUCAUUUAUCUUCGACAAGGUGAUAAUUAAAGUCACGGCCAUGGCUCUGCUUGCAUCUGUUGUGUGGUGUGUGUGUUCAUCAUGUGUGGCACUGUGAGACGAGUGUGUCAUACAUCUGUUGUGUGGACUGCAGACACUAGCAAUAUACUGUUGAGAGGAUAGCAUGAUAUGCAAAAUUGAUAAUGUUGUUAGAUGACCUUUUAAGGACAAAGAACUAAGGGUUUAGGAUAGAAAAGAGGACACAUAAAUCCCAAUUGCCUAUGUUUUAACCUUGCAAGUAAGAACAAAAUCAAUGAUAUAAUGAGUCAUAUUAUAAAGAUGCUCUGUAGUUUUACCUUGCUAUUAUAAGAGGUAUAAACUCUAAACCAAAUCCCAAAAAUCUCCUUGCAGUUUAUUGCAUGACAUAAGUAUUUGAUCACCUACCAACCAGUAAGAAUUCCGGCUCUCACAGUCUCAAAGAAAAUCAUUAGUAACACACUACGCCGUCAUGGAUUAAAAUCCUGCAGUGCACGCAAGGUCCCCCUGCUCAAGCCAGCGCAUGUCCAGGCCGAUCUGUAGUUUGCCACGCUUUUCAUCCAAAGCGACUUCAUUACAUUUUUGCCCAGGGAGCAAUUAAGGGUUAGGCAUCUUGCUCAGGGACACUUUGACAUGGGGCAGCCGGGACUCCAACCACCAACCAAGCGGUUGCCAGCGGACCCGCUCUACCCCUGUGCCAUGAUGACCUGUAGACCUGGUCUACCUGUAGACCAGGGGUCUCAAACUCGUGCCAGACCAUUACGGUCGGCGGUCCGACCAGUGAACGGAACGGUCAACGGGGGGCGCUGACGUUGCGAUCCCUGCUGUAGACUGACUUUUCAGCGGAGUGGCGACCCGUUAGUUGGGUUUUCUAAGCAACUCAGGAUCUCUUUACUCGUAGUCCGGUGGAGCGGAGUCACCCGCUAGUGCUGUGGUUACUGGUACAGCGGGACCGGGAUCCUGAGUUUCAUAUACUUCUCAGGGUUUCGCAAGGGGAUUUUUACGAGAAGUGUUUUUUUUCGCCUUACGAGAAGGAAAACACCGCCCGUCAGUGUAAAACAAAAUAAGGGGAUCUAACUAGAAUAGCAUGAAAUUGGGAACUUGCAUUACAAUCACUUUAAAAAAUUACCAUUUUCAAGUGGCAUUCCACUCACUCUCGUAAAUAUGUUUCAGAGUUUUACCCAACGUUGUGAAUAGACUAAACUACUUGGUUCUGUUUCAGAAAAGUACUUGUUUUUCACAAAAACUACAGAGUCAAUUAUAAAAAGGUGGGUAACCAGUGGGUGAAGGUCCUGUGCUAUUUGACCCAUCCAGUACCGCCCAACCCCCCCCCCCUAAUCAGAGUCAUCACCCAUUAUACUUUACACCAGUCUUUCUUACAGAAAUACUUAUAGUUUGAUUUAUUAGAUUUUUUUUAGGAUUAUUUUAAACUGAGAUUUGCAUUACUGGCAGAAUAAUAGACUAAUUUCAAGACCUCUCACUGGUUAUGAUAUGUAAACACAGGAAACUUUUUAGGUAACGAACAUAUCAAUGUUGUCAUACAACAUUCUUUUAACCAGUGUAAAUAUAGAAGCAUUAUGAAGGUACAGAUGUCAUGGUAAACGUGCUUUUCAUCUUGCUUUACUGGGAUUCAUAAAAUCUUCCUGAUACAAGUUAAAAACAGUCAAUAAUACUGUGGAUAUGUUAAAACAAGAGGUCUGGACGAGCCCCCCAGAGACACAGCACCAAAGAUAAAUACAUGCGUACAACGCAGCCACCCUGCCGUCUGUAUAUAAUUGCAGUCCAUUAAGACGAUCACGUGGGCAGAAAAACGUGCCCAGCGAUUCAGGGGUAUCCAGUGGAUGGUUAAUGACCCGUGUGUCUGACACAUGGAACACCUCACUAAUCACUCGAUGGGCUGAGACGGAAGCGAUGACUGCAUGCUCCUGUACGGGCACUACCCUUUGUGUGUGUAUGUGUGUGUGCAUGUAAAAAUGUCACUGCAAGCAAAAAAAGAGAAAGGCCAAUCAAGAUCAUUUUCACGUUUGUGUUUUGUCACAUCAAAAAAAAAAAUUUCAGCAUUUUUCCUUGAGGAAAAAGCAUGAACCCUGAAAGGCAGAAUAUUCAUACCGUAACAAAAAAAACUAAUUUUAUAUAUAUAUAUAUAUAUGUGUAUGUAUAUAUGUGUAUGUAUAUAUAUAUAUGGAUAGAUUUCUUACGCCGAAGUAUAGAACGUCCGCAUGGCGGCCAUAUUGGUACGGUCAGCUCGCUCACCCGUAACAUUGUUUUGGUAGUGGUACGAUUUUUAAACGGUUUGCUUUGUUAUAAACGUCAGACUUUUUUAGAACAAUUAUUUAUAAUGUCAUAACUACAUCUCUCCACCCUGUACAGAGAUGUAUGCAUGACACUAAAAUGGACUCUUAAUUUAUUUCUUCUUCACAACAUUAAUGUGACUGCUCACUGAAAUGAGUUCAUAGCUAUUGUUAUCAAAACCUGAACUAUAUAUCUAUUUUUAGAUCUUUACAAUUAAAAGUUUCCUCACUUUGUUCUUGAGCAAGCCCAGAAUGUGUUUUUUUGUGUGUGAGUCAACAUGUUAGUUGUGGCUUCUUUGCAGUUUGACAAACCCGAUCGGAAUCAUGGAAUACUGAAUAAUCAGUGAUGUAAUUAGCUAAUGGUAACGUUUUGUAAAAUUGGAUAUUUGGCUGGUCAACAGUCAAGUUUUAUAUUACGAUCAUGUAGUACAUUUUAUUUGAAAUGCAUUUGAUAUGGUCCCCCAGUAUUGUCUUAAAGGUUGAAAGUCCAUUCUAAAUGUUUCAUCUGUAUGUUUUUUUAAAACAUUGACUCCCCUGUGACGUUUGGAGUAUUCCAGCAUUUCACUUCUCUAAUACAUUUAUCUCAUCUUUUAUAGUUUACUCCAGGGGUCUCAAACUCGCGGCCCGCGGGCCAAUUGCGGCCCUCGGGACGAUAUUUUGUGGCCCCAUCCUUAAUAUGAAAGUGUAAUGUUAGUGCGGCCCGCAAGUUUUAUACUGUAACCCCACUGUCAGCUGCUGUGUGGGACAUGUUAUGAUGUUCUGGUUUCCUACUCUGUGCUUGUCCAGUGAACGUGGCAUGCAUGUGACUGACAUGGGGGGCGGGUCGUGUGUGUCGGCCGAGGUGGAGAGAGCAGGAGGGUGAAAUUCAGUUUCCUGCCCUCUUUCGCGCAGGUGAUCAUGUGACUAACCGUUAGCAUCGCUCGUUUAAUAAAGUUUUCCUUUACGACUCACACUAACAACACAUGAAGCAUCUGACGUCACCGACGAGCGUCUCCGUCCAUUACUACGCAGCUUCGAUUCACGUAACUUCACGUUUGGCUAUAAAGGAAUUCCACGGUCACAUGACCUUAGGUCUCCCCCCCUGAGUUAAAGGAGGACUAGUGUUGUAUUCUCAUUCGGACCGAUCCCCCAGGGUGGGGUUCAAUGACUGCUUUCGAAAGUGAGUGUUAAGUUGUGUUAUUGUCGACCAUGCCGUUCGGACGCUAGUCUGGCCCGCGUUCGGUUGAAGUGGGCUGCAUCUGGCCCGCAGCUGAUUUGAGUUUGAGACCCCUGGUUUACUCAGUGUUACAUGCCAGACGGGGACGGUCUGCAUGUGUUCUUGUCGUUCUCCCUCCUGCUCAUUGGUUUCUCUCCCCCAGUGAUUAUGCUGAUUGCUUUCCACCUGUGUUUGGAUUUGGCCAAUCAGCAGUUCCGGUGGCAGUCCAUAAAGGAAGACUCCUGAGAAGUGAAAUGGGGUGUGUUCUGCGCUGCGGGCUGGUGGCCAGUCUCCCUGUACGUGAGCUUUAGCUGGCUGCUAGCAAAACUGGAGUUUUGUAAGGUGGAGGUUGAGGACCUUAGUAAGUUGGGGUACCCUGUACAUUUUUGCACGUAGGUAUACCUUUGUAUAGACACACCAGGUGUAGUGGUUGUGGCCUCCUGUGUAACGUUUUCCUUUAGUCCUUUUUUAGAGAAGCAGGUAAGGUAUUUUGUUUGACUUGUUUUGGAUGAAGAGCCAGUGGUGAGCUAGGCCUCGUUUUGUUAUAUUCAUUUCAUUUGUUUGGCACAACCUGUAGGUCCCAUCUUCCACCAUCUCCCUCCCUCCUGUUGGGAGCCAUCUUUUUGUGUAAGAAUAAAAACUAGAAAGACACCUUUUACCCUGACUCUGUCGCCUGUCUUUGAUUGUUGUUUUACUGUCCUGGAAUCUACAAAAGGGCCGUAACACUCCGCAUCAGUAAGGCUCUAAAGACAACCUCUUUAUGAUAGUAAGUAAUAGGCUGUAUGCUCAAUACAGGCACAAUCUGAUCUUUUUUAGUGGGAUGUGUGAUAAUUCUCCUGCUCUCCUUUGUAGGAUUAUGCAUGUGGAAGUGUAAGUAAUGCGGUUAGGAUCUGGAGGUUGACAAUGCAUUUUUCGGAAUCUUCUUAAUUAAUUUCCUGAUCAGAUGGUUUAUUAUUUUGUAUUUGUUGUAUUGGAUGGUCAUUUCUAACUUCUCUGAGCAUUUGCAAUAAAAACGCCCGAACUACGUUAUGUCUCAUGUGUCUUAAAUCAUCAAAAUGAGUUGUACCAAUUUAAAUCAUAUUGCAUAGAUGUUAUUAGAUUGAGUUAAAUCCUGUACACAAAUGAAUUGAGUUUUUCCAAUGACUUAUUUUUUUUGAGUGUGGAGAGGUAUGUACAAACUGGCCACACUUAUGUGAAAGCAGACUGUCGCGGAAACUUAAAAUGGCAAACUGCGCUAUGUCAUGCAUAUGCAUUCAAGGGAGGAUCGAGGGGACGGUGGGGGGUUAAGCAGCCAUGCAAUAUUAUAUGCAUGGGGGAGCAUGGAGUAAAGAGGGUUUGCCGGGAACCACAAGGUUGGCGGUUCGAAGCCCGGCUGCACCAUCUCCCAUGUCGAAAGUGUCCCUGAACAAGACACCUAACCCCUAAUUGCUCCCUGGGGCAAAAUGUAAAAACCAUGGGUAGAAAUGCAAUGUAAGUCGCUUUGGAUAAAAGCGUCAGCUAAAUGACCUGUAAUGUAAUUAGUUACUGAAAGAAAUCAAAGAGGACAUAGUGUUCACAUUCAAUUCCAGCAGUUCAACUUUUAUUGUUGUUGUUUAACAUUUUGAUAUUGGCUGAUCCAUGAUUGAAAAAAAGGUAAUCUUCCCACAAAUCUGCUUAUAAUGCAAAGAUGGAUGUGUUUAAAAAAAAAAAAAAAAACACUUUCUAAUUUUUAAAGACACACGUGCAGUUGUGGGAUAUAAAAAAAUGGGAUCUCUAGAUCACAGAAACAAUGCUGUGAGUAUUCGUCUGACCAGGGCCGCUGCAGGAUACAGACUAAGCCGCUGUGAGAUGGAACCGAACAUCCCCUUAUUCCCCAAUGCAACCUAUAGUCAUUUCCUUCUCUUCCCUUCAUAACAUUCCCAAUGCAAUUACAGAGCAACAUAAGAUCAAUUUAGCUGUAGAAUGGAGUUUAUGUUUCCAGUGUCUGGGGCCCCUCAGUAUUUGGAGCUACACCUUCCAAUAUGUUCCUCUCUGCCUAGAGAUAAUUCAAUCAUUCUCACUUUCAGUUACUCUCAGGGCAAAGGAGCGGACGCCGCCAGGUCCCCUUUGAUUCGAGUAACUCGAUAGAAGUGCGAUUGUGUUUCUUUUGCUGCAGCACACAAACACACACACACACACAAGCUCUGGCUCACUGACAAAGAGAUUGCAAUUAUUUUACUUUACCAAUUGAUCUUUUCUCCCUUGGGGGACUGCCUCACCAAGGCCGUGCACCAACUGUUACCACUAACUUUCUCAAGGGAAUUACCAACAAGUUAGGACCUUUUCCACCAAUGACCGCAUUGCUUCGUAUCUCAUAAAAUUCACUCCCUUCUGUAUUUUUCUGUCUCACCCUCCAUGGCACCUAAGUGCAAAUCAAGUAUCAUCAAUAUGUCAACCGUAAAACAUAGAGUGCACUGCCAAGAGCAGUUCCUCUAAUGUUCAACAUUAAAUAAGGGGAAGCGGUUAGCUGCAAGCCAAGCGGCAGAGGGAAUUAUAUACAUUUAAACGGAGGUUUGGCAUUGGUUUUCAUUAGCAGCUGUUUCUAGUGUGACAGGCUGCCUUUAAGGCCAGAGAUCUGGGCAAACAAUAGAAAAAUACAUAUCAUAACGGGUUGCCAUGGAUUCCUUUGUUCUUUGUGAGGAAACCAUGGCCUAUUGUCCGAUUCUGAGACAUGCUUUGACAGCUUUGGUCUUGGAAGCAAACCAGAGGUCUCCCACUUUGUUUGCUGAGGGGUCAGAGAUGCAAAACUGCAAUCCAAACGGGGGUGUUCUUUAGCAAAGUGUUUUUUCCAGAUAGUCCUGCAGGGCAUUGUUCAAACUGUCAAUAGUUGAUCCCAUAUUCCAGGUUUCUCCUCCCACUCAUUUCUCCCUCCUCUCUCCCUUUGCCUAACUUUGCUCACCUAGUUUUAUGAGUACGCAUGGGCAUAGUCAUUUAUCAGGCAGGCAGAUAGUAGGAUGAUGUGGGACGUGUGGAGGAAACUCGUGAUGGAUUAAGAGCCAGAGAUCGGUCUCUGCUUCAAAGAGAACAUUUCAAGAAUUAAGACGAGCGAGAUAAUUUUACUACAUCUACUACUUCCAAAAAUUAAUACUAGACUCUUCAGAUAUAGUGGGAAUGCAGGUACCGGUGUAAAGAGGAAGUACAUUGGUUGCUUAGAGAGUGUGGGUGCUAUUGUAGUCUAACAAUAGUGUUGGACCAUUAAGAUCUCCCUAAAAGUUUAAUUUUCUCACUUAGUGACAUGAAUUGCUUUUCCACACAUAAAAGAUUACUAUAUUAUGGGUUAAUAGAUGAUGUCAGCAAAAAGUCUCUUGUACUGUGUUCACACCAAAGGCGAAGCAAAUUAUUUGCACAGACUGACUGUUCAGAGGAAGCAAAUUUUCAACGGGCGGCAUGGGGGCUGCGAAAAAGCGAAAAGGAGCAGAGCGAAUAAAUUGUGCCUCCACUUUGCGGUAAAAAUGAUCCGCCUCUUAAAAGCAGGUGUAAACCAGAAUGAGAGUCUCCUCACAUGCCUCCUGGUGAAAUGACAGCAGUAAUUCGAGCAAGACGGCAACACAGGCCAAGGAGACGAGCCGAUAGGAUUCACACUUUUUUUCAGUUGAGUGAAGAAAUAAUCAUUACACGUUACAGAUGCAAAUGUACGUACAUGAGACCCUGAGACCCUCUCGCCUUUUUUCCGAGAAACCAAAAAUCCAACCUCAGAAUCUUGAAAUGUGCAGCUGUUUGUCCAGCUUUACCCUUCGGUCAUAUAUAUUGCACCUGUCAAGGAGUAACAUAAAGCAAGUGGUUAAUUACAAAGAUCAAAACAGGGUUUAAAACAACCUGUUGUUGCUUUUGUGUACUGUUCCUAUACUGCAGUAGCUUUAUUGACAGGAACGCACUCAAAGCCAAUGGGACUUUUUCUAUGUAAAAUCAAUGGAAAGAUACCUGCCUGUUCUAUUACCACAUAUGCAGACAAAAGGUGUUAUGAAAUCCACUCGUGGUGUUGACUUUGAAGGCAACAUCCUAGAAAAACAUGAGCCCGUCAGCCCGUCAAACAUCGAUGUGUUUUGUCACAGUAGUGAUUCAAAAAUACUGGGUCGAAGAAGAUUUUAUCCGAAUAGCCGAAUUCUGAUCUAAAGAAGAGAGCACAGAGGUUUGUAUAAUCUACUCAUAGCAGAUAAUCUAAUAUGAAACCCUAAUUUAACACGUGCAAAUGUUUUAAGUUAAGUAACCAAUGCAUAACAUGAAGCCGGGAUUCAUAUCUCUUUGAAACGGCUGGUUUAUCUGUUCAAGAUCUUAUUGCAAUGUGUGGUAACAAGAUCCUUCAUUUACAAACAAAUUCUCCCUUCACAUAUUUCUAGAUAAGAUUGUUAAUGUUGUGCCAUUUCUUCUAACUAUUAGUAUCAUGUUUGAAGUACCUUCAGUCGUCUGAAACAGACAAUGUUGUGUGUGUGUGUGAGCACAUCAUCUACUAAAUAAUCCAAUAUUCUUUUUUGUGAUGUCUUUAAAAGCAGGAGAUCCAUUGUGUCUUCAGAAAACAAUCAGUAUAUACACAUAACAGUGCAUACAUUUGCACAGAAUAAUUAAAUUUGUAAAGACCUUUUAGGUCGUUAGGCUAAUUUUUUCCUCUUUAGAUCCUGUCUCAUCUUCGUUAUUUGAAAUGGAAUUUGAGGCUCAGGUUUGUUGCUAUGUUGCUUCAAAGAGAUGCAUGUGUCUAGGAAUAGACAACAAAGCCUUCCUCAUAGGCUAGAUAAAAUCACAGCACAAGGAAUACUUUCUGAAGUGGAAAGAGAUAUUCCGGUGUUUGAAAUCUAGCACCGUGCAGGCUGGUUACAGCUCAGUACUUGAACACAGGCUGGAAGACAGCAGCCAAAGGAAAAUUAUGGGUUUUAAUUUUAAUUUAAAAAUGU